This 9872-nucleotide long non-coding RNA is filed under the name Homo sapiens (human). Its description in RNAcentral is "HSALNT0315417". Lineage: Eukaryota; Metazoa; Chordata; Mammalia; Primates; Hominidae. The record is from RNAcentral.
CAAGCGAUCCACCCACCUUGGCCUCUGAAAGUGUUGGGAUUACAGGCGUGAGCCACCGUGCCUGGCCUAUUUUUUGUUUUAUUUUUUUAAUCUUGAAAUAACUCCACAGUUAUCUCCAAGAAAAUGGCAUCAUUGACACACCUGACAGAUGAAAACUGCUAUUAAGGUCGAGUCCAAGUGACAAAACUUUCUUGACUGUUCUGAGGCCUUGGUUACGGUGGCAUUAAAGUUCUAUACUGUUUUUUUUUUUUUUUUUUUUUUUUUGGCUGGACAACAGACUCUCCAAAAAAAUGCAUGUGUAUACAUUAUGCUUAUUAUAAAAUUUACUAAUAAAAUGACAUGGAAGACAAUUAAAAUUAUAAUAAAAUAUACAAUGCUCAACAUUUAAAUUCUAUAUGGCCAAUUGAUUCUUACAGAAUGCCUUUUUGAUUUUUGUCCAACUCUUGCAUCUGUAGUCAACCUGUGGUCGCAAUUGACAGAAGAGUUUAAUUCUUUCUUUGUGCUCUUACUCCUGGGUCCCUCAUUGUACAGUGAUCAUCAAAUGCAACAUCCUUCAUGAAAAUGAAUAGCUUCACUUUUUGGCAUUUCCUUCCUUUUUAUGUGUCAUAGAAUACACUACAUUAUUCUUGAUUUUACAGUUAAUUUGUAAAUUGUUUCUAACCCCCACUAGUUUAUAAACUCCUUAAGAAUGAGAAGCUUGCAUUAAUCACUUCUAUAUAUAUAGUGUUUUGAAUAUCCUUGGCAUUCAUUAAAUGUUUAGUGAAUUGAAUGCGAUGUUUCUUCCAGACUAUGACCAAUAAUUGUGAGAAGAUUUUAUGUGUUUUUAAAUUCAACUUUAGAGAAUUUCUUUUUGUGUAAUAGGACAUUUGUUGGACAGCAACAUGUAAUUACUCAUAAAAUGUUUCUCUGCGGAGUCCAGCAUCCUUCAUUUGUGAUAGGACUCAUCCAGUUAAAUUGCUCAGGCACUAUAAUGGACUAUUUAUGUUCUGUUGAUGUAAAUUUCUAGAACAGGCCUUUCCCUGGACUCAUGCCAUGUUUUGUAUGUUAUCUUGUGCAGGCAGCACAUGGGGACCUAGUCAGGCUUCCUGAUAUGAUAGCUGUAUAUACAGCCCAUGUCUCAGAGGGGAAUGAUAAAUUGGCCUGUGCAGUGACACAAUACACAGUUAUUUUGGUGACAGUAUUAACUCUCUUUUCAUAAGGGUGCUUUGUUGGAAAACUAUUCAGCUUAACACAGAAUAUUUAGCUUUCAAAGGUUGCAUAGGGAGAAAUGAUACUGCCAGGAUAGAAACAUUAUCAGUUUUUUCUUUCUUUUUUUUUUUUUUUAAUCUUUUUUGACUCUACCGAGAAUAUUGAAAAGAGUUUUGAUUAGUAUUGGUGUUUAUUACGAGAGGAACAUUCUGGGAACCAGACUAUUAGUAUAAUUAUUAUUGUUUUUAUUAUCAAACUAAUAGCACUAACAAGGACAUACGGUAUUUGUCAAGGGAUUCCUAUAUCUCUGUUACACCUAAAUUUCUCUAUACUCUAAUUUUAGAAAAAAAGUUUUGUCUUCCAACUGUGAAUACUUUAUAGUGUUGCAACUUCUGCUUCUAAUCUUUAAUCUGAAGUAGAAAAGAGAAUCCAAGCUUCCAAGAAGUAUGUCUCUAGACUCUGCCACUUAUUAACUUGCUCCUUAUUUUUUCUCUCCAACAAUUAUUUUAAGAUCUGUAUGAUAUAAGCUAUUUUUAGAAGAACUGAAAAGUUCUAGAGAGUAAAAAAAUGUUCCAGAUUGUGUGUUGGUGCCAGUAGUACUGACAAUUAAAUAUUUGAUUGAGGAGAAACCUACAUUUAUCCACUUUGAAGAGGAUCAUCAGGGGAGUUAAAAAUUUAGUACUUCAGGCUCAUUAAGAGUUAGAAUAGAGUAAUUAUGUAGCUGGUAACAAAUGCUACAAUCACCACUUGAGCAUUGUGAUAUGUUACUCAUUGAGACUUACUGGCCUUCUUCAGGGAACUUCAGAUUUUAUAAAAGUCAUUUGCUUAGAGAGUAAAGUUCUGCUAAUCCAUUAUUUUAGUUCUGUCAUCUUUUUCUGCAAAUAGGGUGAGUUUUCCGAGAGGGUAAGUCCCUGGUAAUAAUCUUAAAAAUGAUACAACUUUACAGAAUAUCUCCCCUUGCCAUGAAGCAAUACUUAAUGUCUUGAACAGUGAGCCUCUUGUUCAUGCAGCAUUUAAAAGAGAUGAGUGUAGAGGUCUUCCUUCUACAUUCAUUUUAUUCGUUAGUAAUUGAGAAGCAGGUCUAAUUUUCUAAUCUUGCAAGUUGGGAAAUUAUUAAAAUGCUCAAGAGACAGUAGAUCAAGCCUGGUGUCCCUUUCUCCAUCAAAUUUUAAAGGAUUUUUUUUUCCUCAGUAAUUCUGCCUUUGUGUAUUUCCAAUCUUGCUUCCUAUUUGCAUUGCACACAGUGGCAUGUCAAUUUCAAAAGAAAAUGUAUUCAGAUCUACUUUCAAACUAACUGAAAGAGAUAGUGGUAUUUAUUUUAUCCUGAGGUUUUGUUGUUGUUGUUAUGGUUGUUCUUUGUUUUUUAAAUCUGGACAUAUCAGUAAUCUCCUAAGAGAAUCUAUUCCAAACACAGAGACUGUUUAUUCUUGUUUUAGAUACUGUUUUAAAAGCCAGGUUAUGUUAUUAUAGUAUAGAUAUUUUAAAAAAUAAUGAAAACAGAGUUUUUUUAACCAUAUUUUUGUACUGCAUAAAAAUGCAGUGACAAGAGAAAAACAUUAGAACUCUGUCAUACUCCUAAUAUAGACCAUUGCUGUUAGGUUUCUAACUCCAUGUUCCCUGUCUGGAAGCUUUAUAAGGCCGUGCCUUAGUCUUCUUAAGCCUAACACAUUGUAGCCUUCCAAUAAAUAUUACUUUAUUUGUAUUAAAUUUAAAAUGGAAUAGAAUGUGGUACAUCACCAGCGUUCAUAGCUCCUGACCCAUGCCAUAACUUUCCUUGCCCCAUCCCCAAGAUUAAAAAAACACAAACUAUUAGACUAAUUAUAGUCAUUACAGUUGUAAAUUAGGUCAUGCAUUUCAUUAAAAAUUGACGCAGCUCCCUUUUUGAAAGGCUAUGUCACGGAAAUGCAAACUAGCCUUGUAUAUAGAACACUAAAAUCAUUUAACUUGAAUUAUUCUAAUUACGAUACCACAAAGAUUAAAAAAUACAUCUAUAUUAUCUCAGUCUGAUAACUGGGCUGGGAAAAAAUGUCAGUUUUGAUAUGUAACAAGAUUGGUAUGAGUUAUUUUACGUGACAGUUUUAUUGAUUGAUUUUUUUCAUUUAUAAUCACUAAUUUUGUGAGGUUUUCUCCCCUGCAGCAGUGGACUGAAAAAGUUAACAUUUUUCUGGCAUUUUUUAAGCGCUAAGAGUAGAAAUCAAUAGUUAAAUUGACCUAAUAAAAGAUCUGUGCAUCCUACUACUGUGACAAGAAGAGCAACAGAAAGCAACAUGUAUAGACUCUUAACAAGGCUCAAGGCACAUUUUGGAUUUGUUUUGCAUAUGAAUUUAAUAAGCAUGAGACAGUGCUAGUGAAUUACAUUUGUUUUAUUGAGUCUAUUUAAGCCAGGAUACUGUUAAGUAAUAGACUGACGGUUUGUGGGAGCCAGAUUCAGUAACAGGUCAGCAACAGACUUGCCACAUGCCAAAAAUGGGGUUAUACUGGUUUCAGUUUGCUAACUGCCUAAGUAAACUUGUGUAGAAUUUGCAUUUUUUGCUUUGCAAUUACUGGUUACUUCUCUUUAACAUUACAUUUGCAUUCUAUGUAAAAAAUAGAUUUUAUAUUUAAUUCAAAAUUUAUCCAAAUGUACUUACUCAUUGGACAUUAUUUUUAAAUGAUAAAGGAACUUAAAAAAGUGAUAGGAUCAAUAUAGUAAUAAUUCUAACUCCCUUUUAUACCCAUAUAAAAUUCAUUUAACUAGACUUAUUCAUUCAACAAUAUUGUUAAAUAACCUAAAGGAAUUUUUUUAAAGAAAUAGUGUAAACAUACAAAUAUGAAUAAUUUGAACUCCCUUUUAUAUAAAUAUAUCUGUAGUCACUAACUGUAAAUAAUUUAAAAAAUAUAUAUGUACACACACGUGCGUGCACACACACACACACGUCAUGCCUUAACAAUGGGGAUAUAUUCUGUGUGUCAUUAGGGUAUUUCAUUGUUGUGUGUACAUCAUAGAGUAUACUUACACAAACCUAAAUGGUAUAGCCUACUACACAUCUAGGCUGUAUAGUACGGCCUAUUGCUCCUAGGCUGCAAACGUAUACAGCCUGUUAUCCUAUUGAAUACUGUAGGCAGUUGUAACAUAAUGUUAUGUAUUUGUGUAUCAAAACAUACUCAAACGUAGAAAAGAUAUUGUGUUGUGCUAUGAGGUUAUGAUGUCUACAAAUGUCACUGGGUGGUAGGAAUUUUUCAGCUCCAUUGUAAUCUUAUGGGACCACCAUCAUAUAUGUGGGUCCUUUGUUGACUGAAGCGUUGUUAUACAGCUAUUGACUAUAGUUAGUGAAAAAAUCUAGUUCUAUGAUUGGUUUUGUUCCCUCCUUUCUUAUGAUCACUAUUCAUUCAACACCUUUUAUAUGACAUGCAGUUUGAAAGCACAGGGUAUGCAAAAAUUAUCCCCGUUUUCGGUUGCAGUAUCUGUUGCUGACCCAGAUAACUUCAUUUCCUUCAGCUGUGCUUUCAUUUUCAACUUCUCUAGUUGGAAAUAAAUCCUCUUGUGUUGCCCCUUGAGGGAGAAAUCGUUUAGCAGGAAAUCACUUACUAAUCACAGUUCAUUAAUCACAUAUAAAGAAUACUUUAUAAAUGUCAACUGUCAUUCAUAGAAAAUGUAUGUUACCUUGAGGAAUGUCUAUGAAUUACUUAUUCAUUUUCAUUGCCUUUCACACAUUAUAUUCCUUAGGAGUUUAUUAAUUUCAAAUAUAAAUUGACUAUGACUUAUACAGAGUCUUGCAAACAAGAGAGAUAGCAGUUUUGCACCUUUUCUUUGAUUUACUUGUUAUCUUCCUGGUCAUGUAGUUAGUCUGUUAAAGUCACUCUGCCUGUAUAGCUUGUUGAAGGUUACAGGCAGUGGAGUGCUGGAACUGGUUUAUGUCGAGACCUCUUCCCAAUUCCAUGUUCAAUGAUGUCUUUGUUGAUAGCUUAAAAUUGGCUAUGGUGAGAGCGUUUACACUUUGGAAAUUGGCAGAUGGCAACCAUAGUUCUCUCCUAGACAACCACUUAUUAAACCUUUAGCAGCACUCACUGUUUAUAGUGUUCUUUUUCGUUUUUUAAAAAUACUUUUAUUAUGAGGAAUAGCCAUGUAGAAUUUUAUUUCCAGAUAUUUUGUUGUUUAAAACCCUAAGAACAUCACUCACUAUACCAAUUGCCAACUGAGUAACUGGGAAAGUUACUUAGCUUUUCUGUGCCCAAAUGUCCUUAUCUGUAAGACGGGGAUGAUAAUAAUAGCACGUACCUUGGGAUUGAUGUGAGGUUGAAUAAGAAACACAUUUAUUUCAGUGAAUACAUAAUGACCUGGAAUGAAUACUCAAAUAAUGCUACCUGUUAUCUCUCUGUACUUUAAUUAAUAGAUAUUUAUUGAUCCCUUACUAAGUACUUAGCAUUUUGCCAUGUACAGUGGGUCAUCUACUGAGACUCAGUACCUCCCACAUCAAGUUAUUAGCCACAUUGACCUGUGGCAAAUGACUUCUUUUGAUGUUCCCAUGUAAUGCCACAUACCCGCCCCCCCCCGCCCGCUUUUUUUUCAUUUGUUUUUGUUUGUUUUUUGGUCUUUCUGCCUGGGACUCUUUUUUCUUCCUACAUGAGUUUUGCAGACCUUUUCCAUGUUUAUAUAUGGCUCAUACAUUCCCUCCUCUAGAAAGCUUCUCCUCACUCUAGACCUGGCCACAUAACUGUUUUGCCUCUUUGCUUAUGUAGUUUGGAGUAUGAAUCAUAAUAAUUAUGUAUCUUACUCCAUCUCUGCAUUUGAUUCCACAGCCUACGACUUACACCUUUGUGUUCUUAACCUCUUAGUAAGAAAUGCCUGACACGUAGUAGACUGACUAGAAGUGUACAUUGAAUGUUUGCUGGUUAAAGGAAUGGAACAUGGACUUCACUCAUAGAGACCUUACUAUUUGGUUGAAGAGAUAAUGCAUACACAUGUGACAUGAAGGUAAACACAAAAUAUAUUGAAGAUAUCUGUAUUUUAUUUUUUUUAGUUUAUAGUUAAUUUUUACAUACUAUAUAUUUUUGUAGUAGGUAAGUCAAUUAUUUUCAUGCUACAGAUAUGGACAUUUAUGUAUUUAUGUACAAAUACAUUGAUUUAGGUUAUCUAGGCCAGAUUGUAAGUAGCAAAGCCCUGUUUGUAAACCAGGUUUUGUGACUUCAGGUUAGAAAUAUUAAAAAAAAAAAAAAAUCCUUAAUUGCUCUUCCAGAUAUGAACUCAUUCUUUUUUUUUUUCCCCUGUGAUUUCUGUCUUUUUUGUUUGUUAAGUUUAAAAAAUUUAUGGCAAUUUUUAAAUGUACAUAAUAUUAGAGAAACAAUAUAACAACCCCCUCCAUAUAUCUAUCAGUCAGCAUUUUGUAUGCAUGUAUCCGUAUGUGCAUCAGCCAACAUUUUGCCCUUUUUGUUACCUUUCACACUCCUUUUACCCCUGUAGCAUGUUAAAAGAAGUCUCAGACAUCCUAUCAUGUCACUUAUACUUCUUCAGUAGUAUCUCUGACAGUUAAGAACUUAUUUUAAAUAUAACUCCAUUUCCAAAUCUAUGAAAAUUGACGACAAUUUUAUUGUAUCAUUUGAUAGCCACUUUAUGUUCAACUUUUCCUGAUUGUCACAGCAAUGUCCUUUUUUAAUAGGUACGUUUUUCCAGUUAGCAUCUAUGGUGUCAUUUAGCUUGUUCUUCCAUCAUCCUUAUUUUCUGUAAACUGAAAAUUAGAGUCGAGUUUAACUUUAAUGUUAUUUAUUAUUAUUUGGGGGGAACAUUUCCUGGAAGGUUCUGUAUACUUUCUAUUUCAUCAUAUCAAGAGGACAUAAUUUUAGUAAUCCCUGCUUUUAAUGAUGCUGCAAUCUAUCAGUGAAUCAGAUUGGCCUGGGCCAAUCCUUAUAAAGUUCUCCAUCAGACUUGGAUCCAAUGAUUUCACCUCAUUGUUGAUCAUUUUGUAGCCAUGAUAUUUUUUAGAGUUUGCAAAAAUGGUGACUUUUAAUUAUAUAAUUUCUGCUGCGUUUAUUAUCAAGAAUUUUUUUCAUAAAGAUCUUUUCAUAGUAACUAAUGGUCAACUUCAAAACAUAGUUUAUAUCAGAAAAAGGGAAAAAAUGCAUGAUAUUUAUCAAUUUUCAGAAUCAGAUAUUCUCUUCUAACAUAAGAUCUAAAUAAGCUUACACAUAUAAUCAAGGAUGCCAGUAAAUUUUUCUAAAAAAUUUUUCCCUUGGGAAAAUUAUUUAUUUAUUUAUUUAUUUAUUUAUUUAUUUAUUUAUUGAGACAGAGUUUCACUAUUGUCUCCCAGGCUGGAGUGCAGUGGUGCAAUCUUGGCUCACUGCAACGUCUGCCUCCUGGGUUCAAGUGAUUCUCCUGGCUUAGCCUCCCGAGUAGCUGGAAUUACAGGCAUGCACCACCAUGCCCAGCUAAUUUUUUUGUGUGUAUUUUUAGUAGAGAUGGGGUUUCAUCAUAUUGACCAGGCUGGUCUUGAACUCCUGACCUCAAAUGAUCUGCCUGCCUUGGCCUCCCGAAGUGCUGGGAUUACAGGCGUGAGCCACUGCGCUCGGCUGAUAAAUUAUUUGAAUUGCUUCUCCUAAUUUUUUUUGAUUAAUAUGUUUUGAUAACAUUGUUCCUAUGGUAAUAUUAUCAAAAAAGUUUUCUUUCCUUCCUUUUUGUUUAUCAUUAAUGUGCCUCUGUAUGGUUGAAUUUAUUUACUCAGAAGAUAUUUAUUGGGCAUCUGUCUUUUUUUAUCAAGCUCUGUGCUAGUCCCUGAGGAUGUAGAUAUGAGCCCUGCUUUUUUCUUUUCUUUCUUUCUUUUUUUUUAUUUGAGACAGACUCUCACUCUGUCACUCAGGCUGAGUGCAGUGGCAUGAUCUUGGCUCACUGCAACCGCCGCCUCCUAGGUUUAAGUGAUUCUCCUGCCUCAGCCUCCUAAGUAGGUGAGAUAACAGGCAUGGGCCACCAUACCCAGCUAAUUUUUGUAUUUUUGGUAGAGAUGGGGUUUCACCCAUGUUGGCCAGGCUGGUCUCAAACUCCUGGCCUCAAGUGAUCUGUCUGCCUUGGCCUCCCAAAGUGCUGGGAUUAUAGGCUUAAGCCACUGUGACCGGCUGCUUUUUUCCUAGAAUAUAUAGUUUGGGUUUCUUUUCCACUCGUGAUGUGAUUUAAAAAAUUGAACCUGUUGUAUAUGAAUGUGGUUUUGUAAACUAUAAUAUUUGGUAUCAUAUACUAUAUUUUUUUCUAUAUAUAUAUAUGCUACUAUAUAGUCAUAUAGUAGCAUUUUUUUUUAUAGCUUUCUUUGGAGUUCUUGGUCUUAGUGUCUAAAAUAGUGGCCAUAAAGGAAUUUGGAAGUUAAGUUGUUCUUGCUGACCCAAAGAAAAAUCAGAUGUUUCUGUUUAGGACACUGUAUGUGACAAACAAGGAAGUUUUUAUUAAUUUAUUUUUUUGAAGAAGAAUUGAUGAGAGAAUAAUGAGAAUUCCUCCAAGAUUAAAAGUAAAUUAUAAGAUCCUGUGCUAUUUUAAUGUAAGCCAACAUUUGAAUUUAAUUUGACUUCUAUUUUCAGUAAAUUAGAGUGAAAUUUUAGGGAUGUCUUUAUCUCCUAUAGUGUGUGUUUUGCCAAGAUUUAUUAAGGGUAAUUUUGGAUUUUAGAAAAUGUACAGUUUCUAAAGGCUUGUGAACGUUUUAUAUUGAUAGAAAAUGUAAGUAAGACUAGUAACACAUUAUUUUCUCCAAAGGAUCCUGUGACUGACACAAAAAAUAUGAUAUAAUAUUGAAUCUGCCAAAAGAUGCACUGUUAAUCUAGGGUUAUGUUAUGUUGUUAUUUUAUUAGGUAUGUGAUACUAUGGUGUGAAUUUUAGAAUAUAGGUAAUUAUUUAAGUAAUUACUGUAAUUCUAAACAUCUUCUGAGAUGUUUUCUCUAAAGCAGAAACUCAGCUUUUACUCAUGUUUAGAUAAUGUGAUAUAGCUGUUCUAGAUAUUUGAGAUUAGGGUUGAGGCAAAUUGUUGACAUAUAAUUAAAAUGUAUUUUAUAACUAAAAUUUAGAAGAAUGGAAAAAGUUUACAUUGUAUUUAUAAGACUUUGCUAACAUGCUUUAUGACAUUACGGAGAAGUACUAGGAAGAAGGAGAUCUUUAAAAGGAGUGAUAUUCUGUUUGCUUUGCUGGAGUACCUUAUCAGGAAAUUUGAAAUCUUAGCCCUUUAAUUGUGAUAUCUGUUAAUUCUAAAACUUACACUGAAUUUAACUUUGAAGGUCAACAUAUGGAUUUUUUUAAAAACAAUAUUUACUCUAUCAAAAGAUUAGUUGUAUUUUUGACUUGAGGAAAUAGCUUAAUCUGAACAGCACGAAACUUGACAAAAAAGUUUGCUAAUACAUAAAUAUUGGCUAUUUUAAUCUGUUGAAAACGGAAGGCUAGUACCAAGGGAGACGGUAGUAAAAUUAUAGAAGGAGCUAGUGAAAAGUAAACAUUAUGCAACAUGAAAAGAAUACUAGGGGAAAAACUGACAGAGUAGAAUAACAGGAAGAUUAGUCACUUCUGGAAGGAAAAAAGUAGGUAGGGGCAGGGGGAUGAAGUACUUUAAACAGGAAUGUGGAACUGGAAGUGCUAGGGCUAAAAGACAGAUGUGAGCUUAUUUGGGAGCUAAACUGGGCUUUGAAAAAGGAAUAAUACUGGUAGCAUUUAAUAUCAAAAUUUAAAUUUUAUGUUAACAAUA